This 497-nucleotide ribosomal RNA is filed under the name uncultured bacterium. RNAcentral's name for it is "partial 16S ribosomal RNA". It matches the Rfam family "Bacterial small subunit ribosomal RNA", at positions 28 to 507 of the family's 1533-position model. The record is from RNAcentral.
GAUGAACGCUGGCGGCGUGCCUAAUACAUGCAAGUCGAGCGAACAGACGAGGAGCUUGCUCCUCUGACGUUAGCGGCGGACGGGUGAGUAACACGUGGAUAACCUACCUAUAAGACUGGGAUAACUUCGGGAAACCGGAGCUAAUACCGGAUAAUAUAUUGAACCGCAUGGUUCAAUAGUGAAAGACGGUUUUGCUGUCACUUAUAGAUGGAUCCGCGCCGCAUUAGCUAGUUGGUAAGGUAACGGCUUAUCAAGGCAACGAUGCGUAGCCGACCUGAGAGGGUGAUCGGCCACACUGGAACUGAGACACGGUCCAGACUCCUACGGGAGGCAGCAGUAGGGAAUCUUCCGCAAUGGGCGAAAGCCUGACGGAGCAACGCCGCGUGAAUGAUGAAGGUCUUCGGAUCGUAAAACUCUGUUAUUAGGGAAGAACAAAUGUGUAAGUAACUAUGCACGUCUUGACGGUACCUAAUCAGAAAGCCACGGCUAACUACGUG